AUUGAACGCUGGCGGCAUGCCUUACACAUGCAAGUCGAACAGCAGCGCGGACUUCGGUCUGGCGGCGAGUGUCGAACGGGUGAGUAAUACAUCGGAACGUACCCUGUUGUGUGGGAUAACUAUUCGAAAGAUUAGCUAAUACCCCAUACGACCUGAGUGUGAAAGUGGGGGACCGGGAACGGGCUCAUUCAGCAGGAUCGGCCGAUUUCUGAUUAGCUAGUUGGUGGGGUAAAGGCCCACCAAGGCGACGAUCAGUAGCUGGUCUGAGCGGACGAUCAGCCACACUGGGACUGAGACACGGCCCAGACUCCUACGGGAGGCAGCAGUGGGGAAUUUUGGACAAUGGGGGCAACCCUGAUCCAGCAAUGCCGCGUGUGUGAAGAAGGCCUUCGGGUUGUAAAGCACUUUUGUCCGGAAAGAAAUCGCGCUGGUUAAUACCUGGCGUGGAUGACGGUACCGGAAGAAUAAGCACCGGCUAACUACGUG
RNAcentral lists this ribosomal RNA (486 nucleotides) under uncultured bacterium. RNAcentral describes it as "partial 16S ribosomal RNA". It matches the Rfam family "Bacterial small subunit ribosomal RNA", at positions 30 to 507 of the family's 1533-position model. The record is from RNAcentral.